This 2058-nucleotide long non-coding RNA is filed under the name Mus musculus (house mouse). RNAcentral's name for it is "RIKEN cDNA B230209E15 gene (B230209E15Rik)". The record is from RNAcentral. Lineage: Eukaryota; Metazoa; Chordata; Mammalia; Rodentia; Muridae.
GCUUUAGAAAUCUAUUCACAUAAAAAAAAAUUCAGUAAUGCUCCUGGUUAAUGUCUAGCUCUCAGCCUGUGCAAGGAUCCUGUCAAAGAUUGACUAUAAACUGCUUCUCAGAGAAGGAGGAGUGCUCUGGAAACCUGCAGAUGAAAAGGCAAAUAGAAAGUCAGCAUGCCAGGCUGCGUCAACCACAGCUAAAGGAAUCUAUUCACAUAAAAAAAUUCCAGUAAUGCUCCUGGAUGAUAUCUAGCUCUCAGCUCGUACCAGGCUAUUGCUGUAGAUUGACUGCAAGCUGCUUUUGGGAGAAAAAGAAGUGCUCCGGAAACCUGCAGAUGAAAAGAGAAUGUCAGCAUAGUCAGAGGAGGAGGAAGCGCCUGCAACAGCAGCAGCAGCAGCAGCAGCAGCAGCAGCAGCAGCAGCAGCAGCAGCAGCAGCAGCAGCAGCAGGAUCGACAGGAUCAGCAGCAGGAUCAGCAGCAAGGGCAGCAGCAACAGCACGGGCAGCAGGGGCAGCAGGGGCAGCAGCUGCAGCAGCAGGAGCAGCAGCUGUGCCAGCAGCAGCAACAGUGCCAGCAGUGCCAGCAACUGCAGCAGCAGCAGCAGCAACAGCAGCAGCAGCAACGUAGGAGGAGAAAAAACAGGAGAAGCCGGAGGAGCAGGAAGAGCAAGAGGACCAGGAGGACCAGGAGGACCAGGAACACCAGGAGGAGGCGAAGAAGAAAUAAUGAGUGAUUGUGUCUACAUUUACAGAAAGAGUUUGAUGUGGUAGAAAUAUUCCUUGGAGAAAUGUGUACUCAAGAAUUUACUCAUGUAGAGUCUCACUAUGCUGCCAUCUGAGACUUCGAGUUCAUUACUGAAACCAUGCUUCUUCCCAGCAUCACGAGAAGAACACAACAGAUACAGAUCACCACAUUUAGCUGGUGGUAUUGUAAAAGCUCUUCAUUACUGACUUUCAUUUUUGCUUGUGUAUAAUUUGAAUCAAAUUUUAUAUUUUCUCAUUUACUACAAGUUUGCUUAACUCAUAUUUAGAUGUAACCAUAUUUUAUUACAUACCAUGUUUUUUAGAUUACAAAAGAUAUUUAAGUAAUGAAAAUAUUUGUAAUUUUUUAUUGGUUAUUUUCUUUGUUUACAUUUUAAGUGUUCUCCACAUUUCUGAUUCCAUCUCCGCAAACUGCCUAUUUCAUACCCAUUCCCCCUGCUUCUAUGAGAGUGCUCCCGAGCCCACCCACCCAUUUCCCCUUCACUGCAUUUCCUUAUGAUAUGGCAUCAAGUCUCCACAAGACCAAGAGCGUUCCCUCCCACUGAUGUCAGAAAAGCCAGUCCUCUGCUACAUAAGCAGCUGGAGCUAUGGGCUCUUCUAUGUGUAUUCUUUGGUUGGUGGUUCAGUGGAGCUCUGGGAGGUCUUGGUGAUUGAUAGUUUUGUAUAUUAUACUUUUCACUAUUUAAAACAAUAUUUUAAUUAAAUAUUCAAUGAUAUUAUACCACUUCCUCAAGUUCUUCAGCUCCUUUCCUACUUUCAUGCCAUCAUUAAGCCCCUUUGCCAAAAGAAAACAAAAUAAAUUAAAACACAACAACAACAAAGCCAAAAAGCAACAAAUAAUCCACAAAACAACAACAAAAAACAAAAAAGAUAAUAAAGUCCAAUAGAAAAUAAUUCCCUCAAAAUCAGGAAAAUAAAAUCACAUUGAAAACAAACAAAAACUAAUCAAAAUACAAAAAAAACAAACUACAAAAAACAAACAAACGAACAAACAAAAAAACAAAAACAAACAAACAAAAAAACCAACUGUAUCCAUGUUAAUGCAUACUCAAAAACUCAGAAAACUCUUCAGUCAAAUUACUUGUGGUUCUACUACUGCUGAACCUGAGGGACUGUCCUGGUGGAUGUACCUAGUUUUACUUUCAGGAAAACUAGAUUAAUCUCUUUCUAAGUGGUUAUAUGUGAGAUUUCAGUUGUUAACCUUUACUCUAGGGGCUACAUUUUCACUUAUUUAUUUAUUUAUUUAUUUAUUUAUUUAUUAUUUAUUUAUUUAUUUAUUUAUUUAUUUAUCUAUUCAUUAAUUCC